This 253-nucleotide ribosomal RNA is filed under the name uncultured microorganism. RNAcentral describes it as "partial 16S ribosomal RNA". It matches the Rfam family "Bacterial small subunit ribosomal RNA", at positions 524 to 776 of the family's 1533-position model. The record is from RNAcentral.
UACGUAGGUCCCGAGCGUUGUCCGGAUUUAUUGGGCGUAAAGCGAGCGCAGGCGGUUCUUUAAGUCUGAUGUGAAAGCCCGGAGCUCAACUCCGGAAAGGCAUUGGAAACUGGUUAACUUGAGUGCAGUAGAGGUAAGUGGAACUCCAUGUGUAGCGGUGGAAUGCGUAGAUAUAUGGAAGAACACCAGCGGCGAAGGCGGCUUACUGGACUGUAACUGACGUUGAGGCUCGAAAGUGUGGGUAGCAAACAGG